AUUGAACGCUGGCGGUAUGCUUAACACAUGCAAGUCGAACGGUAACAGGCCUUCGGGCGCUGACGAGUGGCGGACGGGUGAGUAACGCGUAGGAAUCUGCCUCAUAGUGGGGGACAACGUGGGGAAACUCACGCUAAUACCGCAUACGCCCUACGGGGGAAAGGACGGGGGAGUCUUCGGACCUCGCGCUAUGAGAUGGGCCGUGCGUUAGAUUAGCUAGUUGGUAGGGUAAAGGCUACCAAGGCGACGAUCUAUAGCUGGUCUGAGAGGACGAUCAGCCACACUGGGACUGAGACACGGCCCAGACU
RNAcentral lists this ribosomal RNA (308 nucleotides) under uncultured bacterium. Its description in RNAcentral is "bacterial SSU rRNA". It matches the Rfam family "Bacterial small subunit ribosomal RNA", at positions 30 to 337 of the family's 1533-position model. The record is from RNAcentral.